RNAcentral lists this transfer RNA (75 nucleotides) under Chloroflexota bacterium. RNAcentral's name for it is "Chloroflexi bacterium tRNA-Met". It matches the Rfam family "tRNA". From Rfam's summary of the family: Transfer RNA (tRNA) molecules are approximately 80 nucleotides in length. Their secondary structure includes four short double-helical elements and three loops (D, anti-codon, and T loops). The record is from RNAcentral. Lineage: Bacteria; Bacillati; Chloroflexota.
GGGCCUGUAGCUCAAUGGCAGAGCAUCCGGCUCAUAACCGGCUGGUUCUGGGUUCGAAUCCCGGCAGGCCCACCA